AUGAACGCUGGCGGCGUGCCUAAUCCCUGCCAGUCGAGCGAACAGACGAGGAGCUUGCUCCUCUGAUGUUAGCGGCGGACGGGUGAGUAACACGUGGAUAACCUACCUAUAAGACUGGGAUAACUUCGGGAAACCGGAGCUAAUACCGGAUAACAUGUUGAACCGCAUGGUUCAACAGUGAAAGACGGUCUUGCUGUCACUUAUAGAUGGAUCCGCGCCGCAUUAGCUAGUUGGUAAGGUAACGGCUUACCAAGGCACCGAUGCGUAGCCGACCUGAGAGGGUGAUCGGCCACACUGGAACUGAGACACGGUCCAGACUCCUACGGGAGGCAGCAGUAGGGAAUCUUCCGCAAUGGGCGAAAGCCUGACGGAGCAACGCCGCGUGAGUGAAGAAGGUCUUCGGAUCGUAAAACUCUGUUAUUAGGGAAGAACAAAUGUGUAAGUAACUAUGCACGUCUUGACGGUACCUAAUCAGAAAGCCACGGCUAACUACGUG
This 496-nucleotide ribosomal RNA is filed under the name uncultured bacterium. RNAcentral describes it as "partial 16S ribosomal RNA". It matches the Rfam family "Bacterial small subunit ribosomal RNA", at positions 29 to 507 of the family's 1533-position model. The record is from RNAcentral.